RCAAGCUGCAAAUUUGCUUCAGCACCCCAAAAAAGGUUGCCGGGGCUU
Molecule: transfer RNA, 48 nt
Filed under: Paroedura tanjaka
Lineage: Eukaryota; Metazoa; Chordata; Lepidosauria; Squamata; Gekkonidae
Description: partial tRNA-Cys
Source: RNAcentral